This 513-nucleotide ribosomal RNA is filed under the name uncultured bacterium. RNAcentral's name for it is "partial 16S ribosomal RNA". It matches the Rfam family "Bacterial small subunit ribosomal RNA", at positions 28 to 523 of the family's 1533-position model. The record is from RNAcentral.
GACGAACGCUGGCGGCAUGCCUAAUACAUGCAAGUCGAGCGAACAGAUGAAGUGCUUGCACUUCUGACGUUAGCGGCGAACGGGUGAGUAACACGUAAGGAAUCUACCUAUAAGCGGGGGAUAACAUUCGGAAACGGGUGCUAAUACCGCAUAAUAUCUUCCUCCGCAUGGAAGAAGAUUGAAAGACGGCUCUGCUGUCACUUAUAGAUGACCUUGCGGUGCAUUAGUUAAUUGGUGGGGUAACGGCCUACCAAGACGAUGAUGCAUAGCCGACCUGAGAGGGUGAUCGGCCACAUUGGGACUGAGACACGGCCCAAACUCCUACGGGAGGCAGCAGUAGGGAAUCUUCCGCAAUGGGCGAAAGCCUGACGGAGCAAUGCCGCGUGAGUGAAGAAGGCCUUCGGGUCGUAAAACUCUGUUAUAAGAGAAGAACAAAUUGUAGAGUAACUGCUACAGUCUUGACGGUAUCUUAUCAGAAAGCCACGGCUAACUACGUGCCAGCCGCCGCGGUAA